GAUGAACGCUAGCGGCAGGCCUAAUACAUGCAAGUCGAGGGGCAGCGCGGUAGCAAUACUAGCGGCGACCGGCGCACGGGUGCGUAACACGUAUGCAACCUACCUUCAACUGGAGGAUAGCCCGGGGAAACUCGGAUUAAUACUCCAUAACACAGGGAUCCCGCAUGGGAAUAUUGUUAAAGCUACGGCGGUUGAAGAUGGGCAUGCGUUCGAUUAGCUAGUUGGUGUAGGUAACGGCUCACCAAGGCUACGAUCGAUAGGGGGUCUGAGAGGAUGAUCCCCCACACUGGUACUGAGAUACGGACCAGACUCCUACGGGAGGCAGCAGUAGGGAAUAUUGGUCAAUGGGCGCAAGCCUGAACCAGCCAUGCCGCGUGCAGGAAGAAGGCCCUCUGGGUUGUAAAACUGCUUUUAAUAGGGAACAAAUGCCACUUGCGAGUGGAGCUGAGUGUACCUAUAAAAUAAGCACCGGCUAAACUCCGUGCCAGCAGCCGCGGUAAU
This 501-nucleotide ribosomal RNA is filed under the name uncultured bacterium. RNAcentral describes it as "bacterial SSU rRNA". It matches the Rfam family "Bacterial small subunit ribosomal RNA", at positions 28 to 524 of the family's 1533-position model. The record is from RNAcentral.